RNAcentral lists this long non-coding RNA (956 nucleotides) under Anser brachyrhynchus (Pink-footed goose). RNAcentral's name for it is "lncRNA (ENSABRG00000021006.1)". Lineage: Eukaryota; Metazoa; Chordata; Aves; Anseriformes; Anatidae. The record is from RNAcentral.
UCUCUUCCAACCUAGAAAUCUGUGAUACUGUGAUACUGUGAUAUCAGACCCUCAAUAAAUAAAACGUCUUGAACCAUAUCAGUCCAAAAGGAGAAUUUUGUGUUGGUCAGAUGUGUUUAUGAAAAUGAUUGUAGUUUAGCCACUUUUUGAAGACAAGGAAUAUAGAAGAGAUUAUAUCAACUGCAGAUCAUCUGAAAGGAUUCCCAUUUAUUUUAAAAGCAGGAAAUAUGGGCCAACGUACAAAUUCUUGAGGAAAAAAACAGAUGUAGCAAGCAAGAAGAUACUGUGAACUGAACUCGACAAGUUAAUUAGGAAGUCUUGGAAAUGAAUCAUAUCUCUCAAAUUUUUUUUGUUUGUUUGUUUCAGUUGUAACUAUUCCUAAGGUAUUUGGGGAUGUUUUUGUACGUAAGGUUCUAUACACCCGAGGUAACCAAAGUCUGAAGUGGUGACAGUCCAAAAGAAUCCUGAUAAAUCAACUUCAUGCUUCCCUAGUAGGACAGCAGAUGUAAUUUUAAACUGAAAAACUGAGGAGAUAGUGCUACACCAGAAAAUAUGCCACUAAACAGGAGAGCAAAUGUGCUGAUGAGUACAAAAACGUCUGUCUAGGAGCUAAUGCUACAGAGCCACCAUUGCCUGCCAAAGCAAACAUUAUAUGAGUUUUGACUUCAAUGAGUGUGGAAAUUUUGUAGUACCAGUCGGCUCUUUUCACUCCCUUGCACGUUACCCAGAAAAACAUCAGGGCAACCUGGAAAGUUACAAGAAGGUGCGUUAUGAUGAUGACCAGGACUAGCACUGGACGCAUAAACUGAUACUACACUGUCAACUCUCCUGAAGCAAGCGACAUACUUAGUGACAUAUUGGAGGAGAGGGGAGUGCUUAUCCCUUCGAGGAAGUCUGCCUCUGAUACCUGAGUCAACAAUCUGUUCUUUGGUUUCACUAAGAAUAUUAAAGGUGUA